Long non-coding RNA from Tyto alba (common barn owl), 313 nucleotides. RefSeq lists it as uncharacterized. The transcript has 3 exons. NCBI's taxonomy places the organism in Eukaryota, Metazoa, Chordata, Aves, Strigiformes, Tytonidae. The record is from RefSeq and is a predicted model, not a curated record.
CGUUGAACGUGAGGCAGAGGAUCUUACCUGGCAUUGACUGCAGGGAACACACAUUCUGCGGAUGCGUGGUGUGAGCAGCAGUGGAUACGGCUACACAGUGUCUCCCACGAGACUGGGACUGCUCCUUGUCCUAGCUAAUCCCAUGGAAGAGCUGCAGAUGAUGAUGGAGCAGAUCUCUACAGUUCCCAGAGAGCAUGUGGGCCCCAAUCAGCCUGAUCUCAUAUUCCAAGAAUGAAACCCUGGCAUGGAAGUGGCAUAUCUGCUAGUUAAUGUCAACAUUUGAUGUGCAAUCAGAAAGCAAACAGGAUUUCAU